AGUGAACGCUGGCGGUAGGCCUAACACAGGCAAGGCGAACGGCAGCACAGUAAGAGCGGGCGCGGAAGGGAGGAGAGGGGCGGACGGGGGAGGAAGACAGCGGAAGAGAAGGGGGCGGGGGGGAGAACGGAGGGAAACGGACGCGAAGACCGCAGACGACCGACGGGGGAAAGCAGGGGAUCUUCGGACCUUGCGCGAUUGAAUGAGCCGAUGUCGGAUUAGCUAGUUGGCGGGGUAAAGGCCCACCAAGGCGACGAUCCGUAGCUGGUCUGAGAGGCGGCUCCGCCCCCCUGGCACUGAGCCCCGGUCACGACUCCUCCGGGAGGCAGCAGUGGGGAAUAUUGGACAAUGGGCGCAAGCCUGAUCCAGCCAUACCGCGUGGGUGAAGAAGGCCUUCGGGUUGUACAGCCCUUUUGUUGGGAAACAAAAGCAGCAGGUUAAUACCCCGCUGUUCUGACGGUACCCAAAGAAUAAGCACCGGCUAACUUCGUG
RNAcentral lists this ribosomal RNA (492 nucleotides) under uncultured bacterium. RNAcentral describes it as "partial 16S ribosomal RNA". It matches the Rfam family "Bacterial small subunit ribosomal RNA", at positions 30 to 507 of the family's 1533-position model. The record is from RNAcentral.